Molecule: ribosomal RNA, 387 nt
Filed under: uncultured Desulfobulbus sp.
Lineage: Bacteria; Pseudomonadati; Thermodesulfobacteriota; Desulfobulbia; Desulfobulbales; Desulfobulbaceae
Description: bacterial SSU rRNA
Rfam family: Bacterial small subunit ribosomal RNA
Source: RNAcentral
UGGAAACAGGAGAGUGCUUUCAUUAGAGAGAACCUGGAGACAGGUGCUGCAUGGCUGUCGUCAGCUCGUGUCGUGAGAUGUUGGGUUAAGUCCCGCAACGAGCGCAACCCUUGCCUUUAGUUGCCAGCAGUUCGGCUGGGCACUCUAAAGGGACUGCCGGUGUCAAACCGGAGGAAGGUGGGGAUGACGUCAAGUCCUCAUGGCCUUUAUGGCCAGGGCUACACACGUACUACAAUGGCCGGUACAAAGGGCAGCGACAUUGCGAGAUGGAGCGAAUCCCGAAAAGCCGGUCUCAGUCCGGAUUGGAGUCUGCAACUCGACUCCAUGAAGUUGGAAUCGCUAGUAAUCGUGGAUCAGCAUGCCACGGUGAAUACGUUCCCGGGCCUU